UCUCUGUGAUGAUGAAAACAGAUGACGAGUCCGAUGCAAUCCAUUCUAUAAACCAUGUGGACAAUCGAGGCAUUUGUCUGAGAGAA
This is a non-coding RNA of Triticum aestivum (bread wheat), 86 nucleotides long. The record is from Rfam. Lineage: Eukaryota; Viridiplantae; Streptophyta; Magnoliopsida; Poales; Poaceae.